Molecule: small nuclear RNA, 155 nt
Filed under: Hortaea werneckii EXF-2000
Lineage: Eukaryota; Fungi; Ascomycota; Dothideomycetes; Mycosphaerellales; Teratosphaeriaceae
Source: RNAcentral
GCCUUCGGGCAUUUGGUCAAUUUGAAACAAUACAGAGAAGAUUGUACGUUCCCCCCCGCGCGCACCCCACCAGAGAUCAUCGCUAACAGAUGUUACAGAGCAUGGCCCCUGCACUAAGGAUGACACAUGCAAACAAAGAGAGUAAACAGUUUUUU